GACGAACGCUGGCGGCGUGCUUAACACAUGCAAGUCGAACGGAAAGGCCCUGCUUUUGUGGGGUGCUCGAGUGGCGAACGGGUGGGUAACACGUGAGUAACCUGCCCUUGACUUUGGGAUAACUUCAGGAAACUGGGGCUAAUACCGGAUAGGAGCUCCUGCUGCAUGGUGGGGGUUGGAAAGUUUCGGCGGUUGGGGAUGGACUCGCGGCUUAUCAGCUUGUUGGUGGGGUAGUGGCUUACCAAGGCUUUGACGGGUAGCCGGCCUGAGAGGGUGACCGGCCACAUUGGGACUGAGAUACGGCCCAGACUCCUACGGGAGGCAGAAGUGGGGAAUAUUGCACAAUGGGCGGAAGCCUGAUGCAGCAACGCCGCGUGCGGGAUGACGGCCUUCGGGUUGUAAACCGCUUUCGCCUGUGACGAAGCGUGAGUGACGGUAAUGGGUAAAGAAGCACCGGCUAACUACGUG
This 468-nucleotide ribosomal RNA is filed under the name uncultured bacterium. RNAcentral's name for it is "partial 16S ribosomal RNA". It matches the Rfam family "Bacterial small subunit ribosomal RNA", at positions 28 to 507 of the family's 1533-position model. The record is from RNAcentral.